Molecule: ribosomal RNA, 307 nt
Filed under: uncultured Thermovirga sp.
Lineage: Bacteria; Thermotogati; Synergistota; Synergistia; Synergistales; Thermovirgaceae
Description: bacterial SSU rRNA
Rfam family: Bacterial small subunit ribosomal RNA
Source: RNAcentral
GGGUUAAGUCCCGCAACGAGCGCAACCCCUGCAUCCAGUUGCCAUCGGGCGAGCCGGGCACUCUGGAGGGACUGCCGGCGACAAGCCGGAGGAAGGUGGGGAGUGACGUCAAGUCAUCAUGGCCCCUAUGUCCAGGGCGACACACGUGCUACAAUGGCCGGCACAGCGGGAAGCGGAGGGGCGACCUGAGCGGAUCCCUUGAAAGCCGGUCCCAGUUCGGAUUGCAGUCUGCAACUCGACUGCAUGAAGUUGGAAUCGCUAGUAAUCGCGGAUCAGCCAAGCCGCGGUGAAUACGUUCCCGGGCCUU